Molecule: ribosomal RNA, 369 nt
Filed under: uncultured marine eukaryote
Lineage: Eukaryota
Description: SSU rRNA
Rfam family: Eukaryotic small subunit ribosomal RNA
Source: RNAcentral
CGGUUAAAAAGCUCGUAGUUGGAUUUUUGUUGAGGUCGGGCGGUGUACACCUCGUGUAUUAUUUGCUUCGGUCUCGGCAUCCUCUUGGGGAACGUAUCAGGACUUUAUUGGACUGUGCGAGAUUCAAGACUUUUACUUUGAGGAAAUUAGAGUGUUCACGGCAGGCAAACGCCUUGAAUAUAUUAGCAUGGAAUAAUAAUAUAGGAUCUUGGUUCUAUUUUGUUGGUUUCUAGAGCUAAGAUAAUGAUUAAUAGGGACAAUUGGGGGCAUUCGUAUUAACGCGUCAGAGGUGAAAUUCUUGGAUUGCGUUACGACGAACUACUGCGAAAGCAUUUGCCAAGGAUGUUUUCAUUGAUCAAGAACGAAAGU